UGAAUGCACCAACUGCAAGUCGCUCUGGAUAAGAGCGUCUGCUAAAUGACUAAAA
Molecule: non-coding RNA, 55 nt
Organism: Salmo salar (Atlantic salmon)
Lineage: Eukaryota; Metazoa; Chordata; Actinopteri; Salmoniformes; Salmonidae
Source: Rfam